RNAcentral lists this ribosomal RNA (253 nucleotides) under uncultured bacterium. RNAcentral's name for it is "partial 16S ribosomal RNA". It matches the Rfam family "Bacterial small subunit ribosomal RNA", at positions 524 to 776 of the family's 1533-position model. The record is from RNAcentral.
UACGGAGGGGGCUAGCGUUGUUCGGAAUUACUGGGCGUAAAGCGCGCGUAGGCGGACCUGCAAGUCGGGGGUGAAAGCCCGAGGCUCAACCUCGGAACUGCCUUCGAUACUGCGGGUCUCGAGUCCGGGAGAGGUGAGUGGAAUUCCUAGUGUAGCGGUGAAAUGCGCAGAUAUCAGGAGGAACACCGGUGGCGAAGGCGGGUCUCUGGGCCGAUACUGACGCUGAGGAGCGAAAGCGUGGGGAGCGAACAGG